RNAcentral lists this unclassified non-coding RNA (153 nucleotides) under soil metagenome. Its description in RNAcentral is "partial contains small subunit ribosomal RNA, internal transcribed spacer 1, and 5.8S ribosomal RNA". The record is from RNAcentral.
UUUCCGUAGGUGAACCUGCGGAAGGAUCAUCGUUGAACUCGUUUCAAUCUUCUCAAACCCCUUGUGCACUUCUACAUGUAUCACCCACGCUUGUUUGGAACGUGCGAUUUGAUAACCGUAAUACAACUUUCAACAACGGAUCUCUUGGCUCUC